Molecule: ribosomal RNA, 439 nt
Filed under: uncultured bacterium
Lineage: Bacteria
Description: partial 16S ribosomal RNA
Rfam family: Bacterial small subunit ribosomal RNA
Source: RNAcentral
CUACGGGUUGCUGCAGUGAGGAAUAUUGCACAAUGGGGGGAACCCUGAUGCAGUAACGCCGCGUGGAGGAUGACGCAUUUCGGUGUGUAAACUCCUUUUAUAUGUCAAGAAAAUGACGGUAGCAUAUGAAUAAGCGCCGGCUAACUCCGUGCCAGCAGCCGCGGUAAUACGGAGGGCGCAAGCGUUACUCGGAAUCACUGGGCGUAAAGGACGCGUAGGCGGGUUGAAAAGUCAGGUGUGAAAGCCUACAGCUUAACUGUAGAACUGCACUUGAAACUCUCAAUCUAGAGUAUGGGAGGGGCAGAUGGAAUUAGUGGUGUAGGGGUAAUAUCCGUAGAUAUCACUAGGAAUACCUAAAGCGAAGGCGAUCUGCUGGAACAUUACUGACGCUAAGGCGUGAAAGCGUGGGGAGCAAACAGGAUUAGAUACCCCGGUAGUC